CUGUCCCAUGUUGCCAGCGAGUUAUGUCGGGGACUCAUGGGAGACUGCCGGUGACAAAUCGGAGGAAGGUGGGGAUGAUGUCAAGUCAUCAUGCCCCUUAUGUCCUGGGCUACACACGUGCUACAUUGGCCGGUACAAAGGGCUGCAAACCCGUGAGGGGAAGCGAAUCCCAAAAAACCGGUCCCGGUUCGGAUUGGAGGCUGAAACUCGCCUCCAUGAAGGCGGAGUUGCUAGUAAUCGUGGAUCAGCAACGCCACGGUGAAUACGUUCUCGGGCCUU
Molecule: ribosomal RNA, 279 nt
Filed under: uncultured bacterium
Lineage: Bacteria
Description: partial 16S ribosomal RNA
Rfam family: Bacterial small subunit ribosomal RNA
Source: RNAcentral